Molecule: ribosomal RNA, 815 nt
Filed under: uncultured marine bacterium
Lineage: Bacteria
Description: bacterial SSU rRNA
Rfam family: Bacterial small subunit ribosomal RNA
Source: RNAcentral
AUUGAGAGCGGAUCUUAAAUGCAGNUCAACGAAUGAUUCGGGAUUAGUGGCGGAUGGGUGAUGUAGGCGAGAUAAUCGGCCUUCAGGAUGGGGAUAACAGUUAGAAAUGACUGCCAAAACCCAAUGUGCCGAAAGGGGAAAUAUUUAUAGCCUGGAGAGGAGCUCGCGUCCGAUUAGCUAGUUGGGGUGGUAAAAGCGCACCAAGGCAACGAUCGGUAGCUGGUCUGAAAGGAUGAGCAGCCACACUGGUACUGAGACACUGCCCAAACUCCUACCGUAGGGAGCAGUGGGGAAUUUCCCGCAAUGGGCGAAAGCCUGACGGAGCAAUACACUCGUGAGGGAGGAAGGCUUUUGGGUUGUAAACCUCUUUUCUCAAGGAACAAGAUCUGACCGUACUUGAGGAAUCAACAUCGGCUAACUCCGAGCCACCAGCCGCGGUAAUAUGUAGGAUGCAAGCGUUUUCCGGAAUUAUUGGGCGUAAAGCGUCCUCAGGUGGAACAUCAAGUCUGCUGUUAAAGACCAGGGCUUAACUCUGGGCAGGCAGAAAAAACUGGUGAACUAUAGUACGGUACGGGUAGAGGGAAUUCCCAUUGUCUCUGUGAAAUGCUUAUAGAUUGGGAAGAACACCAGAGGCGAUUGCGCUCUACUGGAACUGUACUGACACUCCGGCACGAAGGCUAGGGUCGCGAAAGGGAUUAUAUACCCCUGACAUCCUAGCUGUAAACGAUGGAUACUAAGCGUUGCUUGUAUCUACCCGAGUAGUGCCGUACCUAACGCGUUAAGUAUCCCUCCUGGGGAGUACCUCCGCAAGUGUG